Molecule: transfer RNA, 78 nt
Filed under: Marmota monax (woodchuck)
Lineage: Eukaryota; Metazoa; Chordata; Mammalia; Rodentia; Sciuridae
Description: tRNA.Val
Source: RNAcentral
GCUGGGGAUACAGCUCAGUUGGUAGAGUGCUUGCCUCACAUGCACAAGGCCCUGAGUUCAAACCCCAGCACCACAGAA